This 249-nucleotide ribosomal RNA is filed under the name Hyalomma dromedarii. RNAcentral's name for it is "partial large subunit ribosomal RNA". Lineage: Eukaryota; Metazoa; Arthropoda; Arachnida; Ixodida; Ixodidae. The record is from RNAcentral.
AAUGCUAAAAGAAUGGAAGUUUAAGAAAAAACUUUUUUAAAAAUAAAAAUUAAAUUUUUUUUAAUUUGUGCAAAACCAAUUAUUUAUAUUAAAGACAAGAAGACCCUAUGAAUUUAUGAUUAAAUAAACUAAAAAUUUUUAGUUUAUUUAAUCUUGAUUGGGGCAAUCAAAAAAUAUUAAUAACUUUUUUAAAUUUAAAUGAUCUAUUAUUAAUAAUCUAAUGGAAUAAAUACUCUAGGGAUAACAGCG